UCUCCUGUAGCUCAGUAGAAGAGCCUCCGACCGGUGUGCGGAAGUGGAAGGUUCGACUCCUGUUGGGGGAA
This is a non-coding RNA of Desmophyllum pertusum, 71 nucleotides long. The record is from the annotation of a GenBank genome assembly. Lineage: Eukaryota; Metazoa; Cnidaria; Anthozoa; Scleractinia; Caryophylliidae.